Long non-coding RNA from Xenia sp. Carnegie-2017, 163 nucleotides. RefSeq lists it as uncharacterized. The transcript has 2 exons. Lineage: Eukaryota; Metazoa; Cnidaria; Anthozoa; Malacalcyonacea; Xeniidae. The record is from RefSeq and is a predicted model, not a curated record.
GACAUUAUGAAGAUGCUGGUGUACAAUGUUCAGAGAAAGAUUCGACAAUACCAGAGAAAAUGGGCAGUCCAUUGGCAAACUUUUCCUUGGAGGAAUAUGAUAAUCCUUAAAUUAUCAGUUUUGUUACGAUUGUUUACAUUCAUUAUAGCUAUUUAAAGCUGUA